Oryzias melastigma (Indian medaka) is the source of this 1354-nucleotide long non-coding RNA. RefSeq lists it as uncharacterized. Lineage: Eukaryota; Metazoa; Chordata; Actinopteri; Beloniformes; Adrianichthyidae. The record is from RefSeq and is a predicted model, not a curated record. The transcript has 2 exons.
UAGGAAAUGAAUGAGAAGUUGCUAUAUUGCAUGUUUGUUUGUAUUAUUCAAAUUUUUAAAGUUAUUUAAUAUUUUUCUGUGGGACAGUAAGACCAGAUUUAAAAAGUUUUCUUGAAUCUCACCUUGAUUUUCAAUGUUGUUUCAAUGAUUCAAACCUUUUUUCUUUUUUUUGCUUUUCUCUUUUAUUUCAAGAUUAUAGUCCUAUUAACUGUUGCACAACUGGAUGUGAAUGAAUUAGUUUUUCUCCCCUGGGGAUGUGGCAAAUCAUUGAAAGGUGGAAAUCCUCAAUCCAAUAAGUGGAGAUGCUUGGUGCUGAACCAAGAUAGAAGCCAAGUUCCCUUAAGUGGUUCAGGUUCAAGUUUUAAAAAAAUUACCAGUUUAACCCAGCAGAACCCAAGAAACAAUUCCCUCCAGUUUUUUUUUUAAUUAAUUUGACUACUUGUUUUUUGUGUUUUUAUUUGUUUUAGUUAGGACCAGUUACAAGAGCCAAAAAUAGGAUGAAAAAAAUAUAUUUAAAAAGAAGGAAAAAAAAUCAGUCUGUUGCAGGGCCACAAUCGUACACGCAUGCACACCUGCACUAAUUUAGAGUCACCUUAGAAGCAUGUUUUUAGACCGUGGGAGGAAGCCAGGGUGCCUGGAGGAGGCCCAUGCAUGCACAAGGACAGAGGAGAACAUUGCAACUCUCCGUUCAUACCAGCAGAUGGAGGAAGAACAUCUUCUUUGAGGAUUUCAAAGUAAAGGUGCAUGAUUGUGACCAAACCCUGGUCAAUUUUUUUCCCCACAAUAUUCCAUUUGUCCUUGGUUUUGAUCAUGUUUGUUUUAAAUAUACAUAUAUGCUAAAGUCAGCAGUUCUUUGGUGAAAACUCAAUUUCACUCAGCACUAAAGAUGAGAUUCCUGCUACAAACUCACAAUAAUUCCCAAAAGGAAAUUUGUGGAUGCCAUUUGCAAACACUGUUUGUAAUUCCCACCACAUGUGACCGGGGUUUUAAUUUUGUGUAGGAGCAGUGGAAUGUGUGAGCUUGCACUCUGAAUUGUGCAUUUCUGAGUGCUCACCAACGUGUGCCUCCGUGUAAGUGCACGGCAGGUAAUUUUUUUUUCUUCUGUGUGUGUGUGUUUUUUUUUCUUUUUUUGUGGGAGGAGGGAGACAGGCACAUAAGUGGAGAUGACUCACCAGUCUUUUGUGAGAGUGCUGCAGAGUGUUUUUCACCCAUUUCUCUCCCUUGAGGCUUGCAUACAAAACAAGAAAUGGAAGGAUGAUGGAGAAGAAAAGGAAAGGAAGAUUGGGUGUUAGGUAGCAUUAGGGAGGAGCGAGGGGGCACGGAUAAUUGGAGAGAGCAAAAAAAAAAAAAAAAA